This 332-nucleotide unclassified non-coding RNA is filed under the name soil metagenome. RNAcentral's name for it is "partial contains 5.8S ribosomal RNA, internal transcribed spacer 2, and large subunit ribosomal RNA". The stretch from base 1 to 120 matches the Rfam family "5.8S ribosomal RNA", at positions 35 to 154 of the family's 154-position model. The record is from RNAcentral.
GAUGAAGAACGCAGCGAAAUGCGAUAAGUAAUGUGAAUUGCAGAAUUCAGUGAAUCAUCGAAUCUUUGAAUGCACAUUGCGCCCGCCAGUAUUCUGGCGGGCAUGCCUGUCCGAGCGUCAUUUCAACCAUCAAGCCCCGGGCUUGUGUUGGGGACCUGCGUCCGACGCAGGCCCUGAAAACCAGUGGCGGGCUCGCUGUCCACACCGAGCGUAGUAACUAACCUCGCUAUGGAGUGGCGCGGGCGCCUGCCGUAAAACCCCCAAUUUCACAAGGUUGACCUCGGAUCAGGUAGGAAUACCCGCUGAACUUAAGCAUAUCAAUAAGCGGAGGA